AGCACGCAGUUUGCACGGCGCGGGCUUAGACGGGCGCCCUGGUGGAGAGGCCUGGCGCGGAGCACGUGGUUUCUUCAUUCAUUCCGCCAACGCUGGCGUAUUAAUUGGGUGUCUUCCUCUCCUCUCAUGCCUCCAAGAAACAAGGACCGCUGCAGCAGGCCUAGGAGCCUUCAAGGAUUGGAGGACUGAAGGAAGAGGAAAUUUCGACACACAAUGAGACGCCAGCUAUGUGGACAUACAAAUAAAUACCCCAUGAAGACGCAAGAUGGCCAUCGGCAAGCCAAGGAAAGAGGCCUCUGAGGGAACCACCCUGCUGACACCUCGCUCUCAGACUUCCAGCCUGCAGAACUAUGAGAAAAUAAAUGUCUGUUGUUUAA
This is a long non-coding RNA of Cynocephalus volans (Philippine flying lemur), 377 nucleotides long. RefSeq lists it as uncharacterized. The record is from RefSeq and is a predicted model, not a curated record. Lineage: Eukaryota; Metazoa; Chordata; Mammalia; Dermoptera; Cynocephalidae. The transcript is spliced from 3 exons.